Molecule: unclassified non-coding RNA, 496 nt
Filed under: Penicillium sp. 2-2
Lineage: Eukaryota; Fungi; Ascomycota; Eurotiomycetes; Eurotiales; Aspergillaceae
Description: sequence contains ITS1, 5.8S rRNA gene, ITS2
Rfam family: 5.8S ribosomal RNA (bases 136-289)
Source: RNAcentral
UUUAUUUACCUUGUUGCUUCGGCGAGCCUGCCUUUUGGCUGCCGGGGGACGUCAGUCCCCGGGUCCGUGCUCGCCGGAGACACCUUAGAACUCUGUCUGAAGAUUGUAGUCUGAGAUUAAAUAUAAAUUAUUUAAAACUUUCAACAACGGAUCUCUUGGUUCCGGCAUCGAUGAAGAACGCAGCGAAAUGCGAUACGUAAUGUGAAUUGCAGAAUUCAGUGAAUCAUCGAGUCUUUGAACGCACAUUGCGCCCUCUGGUAUUCCGGAGGGCAUGCCUGUCCGAGCGUCAUUGCUGCCCUCAAGCACGGCUUGUGUGUUGGGCCCCGUCCUCCUUCCGGGGGACGGGUCCGAAAGGCAGCGGCGGCACCGCGUCCGGUCCUCAAGCGUAUGGGGCUUUGUCACUCGCUUUGUAGGCCUGGCCGGCGCUUGCCGAUCAACCAAACUUUUUAUCAGGUUGACCUCGGAUCAGGUAGGGAUACCCGCUGAACUUAAGCAU